Molecule: ribosomal RNA, 768 nt
Filed under: Antepipona biguttata
Lineage: Eukaryota; Metazoa; Arthropoda; Insecta; Hymenoptera; Vespidae
Description: partial large subunit ribosomal RNA
Source: RNAcentral
UAGUUUAUAAUUUUAGUUAAUGUUGAAUAAUUAUUAAUAAUUUUAAACUGGUAGUGAAAUGUUAAUCGAUUUUAAUGAUAUCUAGUUUUUUUAGAAAUAAAUUUAAUUUAGUAUUUAAUUUUUUUUAAUUAUAAUUCUUAAUUAUUGAAAAUAUUUAAAUAUAAUUAUUUUAGGGAUUAGCUUAAAAAAGUAUUAAUAACAAUUUUAAAAAUUUUUAUUUAAAAAUAUUUAUGAUAAUAUAAAUUUUUAGUAAGUAUGUUAUAAUUUAUAUUAUAAUUUAGAUUAAUUUAAGAUUUUGUUUUAAAUUUUUAUAAAAAAUAUAUUUAACUAUAAUGAUUAUGAUAUAAUGAUAAUAUUAGUAAAUUAUUAAAUUUUAAUUGUAUUAAAUAGUAGAAUUUAUUUUAAAUUAAAAUUAAAGAAUUAGACAAAUAUUUUAUUCACCUGUUUAUCAAAAACAUGGUUUAUAGAUUUUAAUUAUAAAUCAGUUCUGCCCUGUGAAAUAUUUUAUUUUAACGGCUGCAGUAUAUUGACUGUACAAAGGUAGCAAAAUCAAUUGUUUUUUAAUUGGAAACUGGUAUGAAAGAAAUGAUGAAAUAAAAAUUGUUUCAAUUUUAAAAAUUGAAUUUAUAUUUUAAGUUAAAAUUCUUAAAUUUUUUUCUUGGACGAGAAGGCCCUAUAGAAUUUUAUAAUAAUUAAUUUAAAAGAGUUUAAAUGUUAAAUUAAAUUAUUUUAUUUAAUUAUAUUUAGUUGGGAGGAUUGUAAAAUUUA